Molecule: long non-coding RNA, 1168 nt
Organism: Juglans regia (Persian walnut)
Lineage: Eukaryota; Viridiplantae; Streptophyta; Magnoliopsida; Fagales; Juglandaceae
Exons: 2
Source: RefSeq, a predicted model, not a curated record
GAAUCUUUUUUCCGAUGUCUUUAUAUAAAGAGUGCUUGAUCUGUAAAGAUUGUGGGAAGUUGGUGAGAAAGAUGGAGGAGUAUGGGCGAUGGGGAAAGUGAGUUGUGGAAGUUCUUCGGAAUGGGAAGAUAGGAAAGAACCAAAGUGUUGUCAGAAACAUCUUUGUUUUCUUUCUUUCUUUCUUUCCUACUCCUCCCAUUCCAUUGGUUUCCUGCUAUUCCUCCCUUUCGCUAGCUUUUCUUGCUUCGAUCGAUUAUUCUAGCUGUUUUCUGCAUCAUCGGGCGGUUUAUUCGAGUCUUUCUGUGAAUCCAGAUCGGCUGCUCAUAAUAAUAAGUCUUUACUAUCUUUCUUCGUUUAGUUUGUUUGCAGUUUCUUUUGUUGUUCUGUGUGAGUGAGUUAUAAAUAUGUAUGCGGGGAGAGAGGGUGAAGAGGGAAGGGGAGAGAGAAGUGCAGGAAGUUUUGGGUUUGGGAAGCUAGGAAAGAAGGAUUUCUUUUGAGGAAGUUCUUUCCUAGACCACCCAUUCCACUGAUUUCCUGCCAUUCCUCCUUUUCCCUAUCUUUUCCUGCUUUGAUAAUUUCAUCUGCUCCGAUGGUUUGGUUUUGGGAUCAUUCAUUCCUACUGGCAAGUGAGAAUAAAUUUUUGGAGGAAUUCAAAUCAUUAAAUUAGAAGGUUAGGGUUUCAGUUGAUUCAACAUGACCCCCAAAAAAAUAAUUUUAUGAUCUAAUUUUCUCCCAAUUUUAUUUGUAUUAUUUUUGGGGUGAAUCAGUCGGGUUGUUUCUAGUGAUGGGAAUUGAGGAAGAACUUUCUGGUAAUUAAGGAAAGGAAAAUGCUAGUUUGGCUUGUGUAUUUAAUUAUUAUUAUUAUUUUUUUAUUUUUUAAAAAUAUAUCCUGCCCCACAGCUCUUCUGGUAAAGGUCUCUGGGUAGAAGGAUCUGGAUCCUCUGUUUUGAAAUGGUUGAAAAGAAGCCAUGGGUACGAGUUAUCCUUCAUUGUAAUUUUAAAUUGGAAAAAAGCAAAUACCGAUUAGCAACCAAUACUAAUUACAGGCUUUGAGAUUUCCUUUUUCUGAGUUGAGCUACUGUUAGCUCGAGUUAGUUUAGAUUUUUUAAUUUAUGUGUAAUAAUAUUGAGAUAUAUUAAUUGAAAUGAAAAGAAAUUAUUUUUAUAAA